GGUGAAAUGAAUCUUCUGAAAUAACUGUCACUUUCCAGACUAGAAAACCCAUGGCCUUUUGACAUUUAAACAAAACACUGAAAAUAUUUUAAAGGAAGUGUCCAAAGACUAGACCAGGCCUGUGUUCCUGGUGAGCAGCUGUCAGGGACUGCUUGGUGUUGACAAGAAUGAAUUUUGACAAAUAUUUAGAAUGAUACCUUGGUAGUGUAAUGGUUUUAUGUGUUUGGCAGGUAACCAAAAGGUCGGCAGUUCAGAUCCUCCAGCUGCUCCGUGGAAACCCUGUGGGGCAGUUCUACUCUGUCCUGUAUGGUCGCUGUAAGUCAGAAUUGACUCAAUGGAUGGGUUUGGGUUUUUUUGGUAUUAAGGAUCUGAGGAUUUUUUGCAGGAAAUGGCAAAUGUUGGCAGUAUAGGUCUCGGGUUCUCCCUCACCUUUCCCUCCCUCCAGAAAGACUUUUCCUGUUUUAUAUUGUUAAUAAGAAAAUGUUUGACGUGAAAAGAAAUACUUCUUUCCCACUGCUAUGGAUUGAAUUGUGUCCCCCAAAUAUGCUGAAGUCCUAAUCCCUGGGGGCUGUGAACAUGACCUUGUUUGGAAACAGGGUCUUUGCAGAUGUUAUCAGUGGGGCAGAGUGGUUAAGAGCUGGCAGUUCGAAUCCACCAGCUGCUCCUUGGAAACUCUAUGGGGCAGUCGUACUUUGUCCUGUAGGGUCACUCUGAGCCGGAACCAACUGAACAGCAACAGGUUUGGUUUUACCAGGGUGGGGUGGGUCCUAAUCCCUUCUGAGUGGUGUCCUUAUGAAAGAGGAGAAGAGACACAGACAGAGAAAGGACAGUCAUGUGAAGAUGCCGCUAUAAGCCAAGGGUCACCUGGGGCUACCAGAGGCUAGGCGAGGCAAGAAGGGAUCUUCCCCUAGAGAUGUAAGAGGGAGCAUGGCCCAGCUGAUGUGUGGAUUUAGACUUCGGACCUCCAGAACUGUGAGACAAUAAAUUUCUGUUCUUAUAAGCCACCACCAGCUUGUGGGACUUUGUUACACCAGCCUAGGCCUCACACACACCCACCAUGCAGUUUUCAUCUGAACAAAUGUCUCCUCAUUGAGGCACUCCGUGUGGGUGGUGGCUGGGGUCCAUGAAGACCAGUGGUUGGCAGGUCUGUGGGGCCAGGACUGGGGGUUUCAUCAGUGUAGGUGUUUGGAGUUUGAUGGAGAAUGGGCUCGGGGUUGGAGCAUAUAUGGGUAAGAGACAAACAUAAUAACUCAUCACAGGGCAGUCAUCUUUCCUGUUCCUCCCUAAGACAUAGCACCCUUUACUUAAGUGACUUUGGAUUCCUGCAUCACCAAGGGACAAAUCUGGAUACAGCCCCCAGGCCCUGGACAUCUCAGGAAGAAGUUACAGUCCUCAAGUCAGCAUAUUGUGACAAAGGAACUUCAAACACAUGGCUAGAAGCCUGGUACAUGAUGGAAGACUAUUGAAAGGUGGAGACAUAGUGAAUUCCAAACAGGAGGUGAUUUUGCAACAGUUUGGAGCCUGAAGGGAAAAAAAGAGAAAGAGCUGGAGUUGAAUGCCCGGGGACUUGGAGGGAACACAAACAAAAAAUCCAGCCAGAAGAGGCCACUGGAGUUUCCUAAGUGGUGAAGGACUCUGAACUGAAAUGAAUGAACCAGAGCUGAAAGUGCCGAUUUCCUCCCUCCGUUGUAGGAAAAUUGAACGUCUCGGUCCUCUCUGGAUUCCAGUGCAAACAACUGUCUGCUCCUUUCAAAACACCGACACAGAGGUCCGGACUGUUCUGUGCCUGGAAAUUGUGUUCCAGAGACAGAGAGCAACUUGUUGAAAGUCACUCGAAUAAGACCCCGGGGCUGAAAAGAUAAUUUUCACAGUCCUUUAGCUGAAUCUGCCAUUGAUGGGAGAAGCAGAGGAAGUGACAGAACAGCACUGAAGGAGUGACUUUUAAACCUACCGUGUUGUUAGUGCCGUGGAGGUGGCUCUGACUCAUGGUAACCUCAUGGAUGACAGAACGAAACACUGUCCAGUCCUGCGCCGUCUUCACGAUCAUUGGUAUGAUUGAGUCCAUUGUGGUGGCCACUGUGUCAAUCCACCUCCUUGAGAGUUUCCCUUGUUUUCGCUGAGCCUCUACUUUACCAAACAUGAUGUCCUUGUCUAGCGAUUGGUCUUCCUGAUGACAUGUCCAAAGUAAGCAAGAGGAUGUUUUGCCAUCAUUGCUGCUAAGGAACAUUCUGGUUGAAUUGUUUCUAAGACUGAUGUGUUUGUUCUUCUGGCAGUCCACGGUACGUUCAAUACUCUUCGCCAACAAAACUUACUAUAGUUCUGCAAUUAAUAAUAAAUUUAUUUGUAGUGUGCUCUGUUAAUAUCCCAACUGGGUUGUCUCUUUUGGUUGCAAGUGAUAGAAUACCCAACUGGGUUAAACCAAACCAAAUCUGUUGCUGUUGAGUCAAUUUCAACUCAUAGCAACCCUACAGGACUGAACAAAACUGCCCCAUAGGGUUUCCACCAAACCAAAAACCAAACCCGCUGCCGUCGAGUCAAUUCCGACUCAUAGCGACCCUAUAGGACGGAGUAGAACUGCCCCAUAGAGUUUCCAAGGAGCGCCUGGUAGAUUCAAACUGCUGACCUUUUGGUCAGCAGCCAUAGCACUUAACCACUACACCACCAGAGUUUCCAUAGGGUUUCCAAGGCUGUAAUAUUUACGGAAACCAACUGCCACAUCUUUCUCCUGUGGAGUGGCUGUUGAGUUCAAACAGCAGACCUUUGAGUUACCGACCCCACACUUAACCACUGUGCCACCAGGUCUCCUUCGACUGAGUUAAGCACCAAAAACAAUUCAUUGCUUUGUUGGAAUGAAAUUAUAGGCUUCCAAUGCAGAUGGAUGUAGGAGCCCAAACUAUGUCACCAGGAUGUGGUUUUCAGCUUCCCCUGUGUCUCCUUUGCUCUCUCUAGUUCUUGGCUCCAUCUUCUCCAUGUCAAGUUCAUCCUUGGACUCUCGGCCCUAGUGGUCACAAGAUGGCGGCACUAGCUAUAGUGCUUUAAAGAGAAGAGAGAGAGCUUUCCCAGCAUGCCAUCACAUCCUAUUCCUUCUCAUUGGCUCCUACUGAGUCACAUGCUCACUUUUGAUCCCAGAGGGAAUCUGGGAUACUGUUGCUGUUGUCAUUGGGCGUCCUGAGUCAAUUCUGCCUCACAGCGAUCCCAUGUGACAGAGUAGAACUGCCCCAUAGGGUUUUCUUGGCUGUAAUGUUUAUGGGAGCAGAUCGCCUGGUCUUUCUCCCCGGUGGAGCUGCUGGGAUGGUUCAAACCACUAGCUGUUCCGUGAGUAGCUGAGCGUUUAACUGUUGUGCCACCAGGAGAAAAUGAAUAGGUGCUGGGCAGCAAAAACAAGGGAUGUGUAUUUGGUCAGCAGACCCUAUUAUAAUAACAUAAAGCUAUUAAAGACUGAAAUUUGCCUAAACCUGUGGGACUCCAGGUCUUUGGUCAUCAGUAUAUCACUAUGAGUGAUGCCUUGUGUUUCUAGGUCCAUGGGGUCUCUCCCGUGUCUCCACAUUCUUUGACAAAAAGAAAAAAAUCACAGGGUGGGGCCCAAGGGCUGAAGAAUUUGCUUGUUUAAUUAAAUAAAUUUCUUAAUACCCUAAAGCUUUGUGAUGAUAUAAAGUGCAAGUCUUAUAUACGGGACACAAGAGGUUUUAAUAGACUGGACGUGUGUUGCAAAUUAAAACAAUGUUAAAUUCCUUAGUAAUCCUAGCAGGGAGGAAAAAAAAGAAGAAAAGAAAAGAAAAACCCUCUGAUUUCCAAAUCACUACCAGCGGAAUUUUAAAAAUUAUUUACACACUUAGCUGUGAGUCCCUUUAUAUAUGACAGGUUUGGCAGGGAGAACUGAAGCAAUAAUUUAAAACAGAGCUUGAGAGUGUGUGUGAGGAACUGCCUGCUCCACUUUUCCAAAAUAAAUGUACCCUUGGAGCCACGAAAGAGGUGCCUUUUCCUAAGAACAGACUACAAGGUUGGGAGCCGGGCGCCUAUAGAUGACAUCAGCUGAUGGGACCGUGUGGAUACUGUCUGUGGGUGCUGGAAUGACGUGAGGCAUUCACUGGUUUGACGUAGAAGGAAAGAUGAGAAGACAGACCGACUCCUUGCCACAGAUCAUUACAUCUGAAUGUAGGUCGGUUUUAUGUACUUUAUACGGGAUCGCUGACACAUGGAAGGUUUUGUGGUUUUUGUUGGUGUUUUAAAUUCACCGGUCAUUAUCUUGUUAGUUGCCGUCAAGUGGGCUCUAAUUCAGGUGACCUUUUGUAUAACAGAACCAAACGUUGCCUGGUCCCGCACCAUCUUCAUGAUCAUUGGUAUGUUUGGGUACAUUACCUGGUAAAAUAGAAGGCCAACGAAAAAAGGGAAACUGUCAAUAAGAUGGAUUGACCCAGUAGGUGCGACAGUGGACUCCAACAGUCAUCCUCUGCUGAACUUCAUGUUGCGUUUUGUAGUAAGAGACCAGGAAGGCUCCAGUCCCUGCCUUCUGGAAGCGGACAUUCCAAAGUGACAAAGAAUGAGUCUUCUAGGCGGGAAUUGGAUCACCAUGCCCUCCCAGCAAUGGAGGGGGCCGUUGUUGAAUAUAUUUGGGUUAUAUGGAAAUGCUUUGGGAAAGGCAGCGUCAGCAGGGAAGGAAAGGAUGAAAUGGAAUCACCAGGCCUCUUAAACGUUCUCAGCUGCCACCAAGAUCCCGCCCACGCACCUAGACAUUCACUGUGUUCUGCUCAGCUUCUACCUGCUACUGCCUGCUGGCUUUUCCCCUGAACCACGCAGGACCACUUUGCUUACCCAGCAAUCGGAAGUGCUGGCAGACCACCACCCACCCCCAGAAGCCCUCAACCAAUGAUCUUGGGCAGGUGGUAUAGAGAUACCCUAGCUCCCUCACAACUCAGGUAGCAUAAUUCUUCUUCUUUUUUUAAUCUUUUAUUUUGAAAUAAUUUUAGAUUUACAGAAAAGUUGCAAAAUUAGCACAGAAAGUUCCUAUAUGUCCUUCAUCCAGCUCCCCCUAACGUUAAAGUCUUACCUACACGUAGCACAAUGAUCAAAACCAGGAAAGAAAACAAAGAUGUAGUAAGAAACGCAAGCCUAGUACAAAACCAAAGUCACGAAACUCUGUGCUGUCCAAAACCGGGUGUGUUUGUUGUUGUUGCAUGCUGUUGAGUCCAUUUUUGACUUAUAGGACCCCCCAUGUGACAGAGUAGAACUUCCCCGUAGGGCUAUCUUGGUGGUGCAGUGGUUGAGUACUUGGGUGCUAACCAAAAGGAUGACAGUUUGAACCCACCAGCUGCUGUGAGGGAGAAAGAUGUGGCAGUCUGCUUCUGUAAAGAUUACAGCCUUCAGAAGCCUGUGGGCAGCUCCACUGUGUCCUGUAGGGUCAUCAUGAGUUGGAAUUGACUUGAUGGUAACAAGUUUUUUUGGUUUAAUCUUUACGGAAGCAGAUUGCCAGGUCUUUCUCCUGAGGAGCCGCUAGGUGGAUUUAAACUGCCAACCUUUUAGCUAGCAGCCAAGCGCUUAACUGUUGUACCACCAGGGCUCCUUUGUUGUUGGUCUUUUUAGGUGCCAUUGAGUCAGUUUCAACUCAUGGCGAACCCGUGUACAACAGAACAAAACACUGCCCAGUUCUGCGCCAUCCGCACAAUUGUUGUUGUCUGACCCCAUCGUUGCAGCCACUGUGUCAGUCCAUCUCAUUGAGGGUCUUCCUCUCUUUCCCUGAACCUCUACUUUACCAUGCAUGAUGCCCUUCUCCAGGGACUGGUCCCUCCUGGUAAUAUGUCCAAAGUACAUGAGGGCUCCUUUAGGGAUUCGGAAUUUUUCUCGUAAUUUUGAAAAUACAUAUAUUACAGAACUCCGCUCCCCCCACCUCAGAGUUUGGAGAAGAACUCUGUAAUAAAACUUUAGCUUCUGCGGUAAGUCAUCAGGAUUGUCACACUAAUCUCAUGUCAGUUCAGGUCAGGUUUUGCUGCCAAAUCAGUCACGAGAACAUCUUUGGAUUCUGGGUCUGUGUACGUGGGACUGUGGGCCUCUAUCUCCUUUCCAGCCUGACGCUUGGAGUUAGCUUCCUUCAGAGAAGCCUGUGGUGUUACCCUGUUGGUUUGCAUCAGCAUAUUCCAUUGGGCCAAGCAGACAACCUGGAAGAGAACUUAAUUCCCUGUUUCUCGUGAGUCGUGUUGUGCAUUUGGGGAGAGAUGUAUGAACGUAGGUGACCACGCGUGGCUUCUGUGGUAGGGAUACUGUGAACUUCAAGACGCGUGUGACUGAAAAGCUCGCGUGGGUUUGCCCCGUCCUCCCAGUGUCCGGUCAGAUCUCCUGGGGUGGCUCCAACUCCUCCCCUCAUUGUUAGCCCUUUAGGUCUGGGCAGCCAGGAGGCCUGACGUGGCCCUGUUUCCACAGAGCGGUGGCCCAGAAAGGGAGCGCAGCUUGGCAACCAAAGAGAUAUUUCACCGCAAGGAAAAAUAUGCACGCACUGUUGGUUAAUUUUCCUUUUAGCCCCAGAGCCCUCUAAGGGGUGUGCGCUGAGGACUCUAAUCUGCUCUGCACCAUGCAAAGAAGAGCCGAGUUGAAAUGCAUAAACAGAACUUUGAAGAUGUAAUGAAACACAGAUCUUUGCUUGCAGAAAAGACGUUUUAAAUAAGAGGUCUUUCAGGCUUGCACCCCUCCCCCAUCCCUCCUUUGAUUUACAGGUUUCUUAGACACCGUGAAGGAGCCCUGGUGGUGCAAUGGCUAAGCACUCGGCUGCUAACCAAAAGGUUGGUGGUUUGAACCCACCCAGUGGCUCCUCGGGAGAAAAGACCUGGAGAUACGCUCCCAUAAACUUUAUAGCCUACAAAGCCCUAUGGGGCAGUUCUGCUCUGUCCCAUGGGGUCACUUUGAGUCAGAAUAGACUUGACAGCACACAACGAUGACGACAACAUAGUUGUGAUGUUGAAUGCCAAUGAAUAUCCAGUUCCAUAAAACAGUGGUCACCUGUAUAGCUGUAAUACACUCUGAUGUGUUCUGUUGCAUUCUAUUGUGUUCUGUGUCAUGCCAUUCCAUUUCCCGUUUAAAAAAAAAAAGUGCUGACCCAGACCUUCUAAAUCGAUUUCAUAACCCACUAAUUUGUCAUGACCCACAGUUUGAAAAUGCUGCCCUAACCCUGUGGUUCCCAAACCUUCUUCUGCCUAAGUACUGCCUGGAAGCUUGUUAAAAACGCUGAUUUCCCAUUCACAGAGAUUCUCAUUCUGCUGCCCUGGAGCGAGGCCCAGGAAUCUGCGUUUCGGAAGUCCCCGAAGUGCUUCUGAUGCAGGUGGCUCAGGGCCACUCUUGCAGAAACACCCACCCACACUGCAGCAUGAAGUUUGUCUCCCGACUGCCUUAGAUACUUUGGUCUAGUUUUAGGUUCUACGUUUUGCCUAGAAUUAAAUCCACUUAGCGGGAGGUACCUUGUGCCUAGUGCUAAAAUUCAUGGCUUUUAUCAUAAAAAUUAUCCCUGGCGAGGUCAGCUUCAAGGCCCAGGAUUCCCCACGGGCACUUGAUGUGGUAUGUAACCUGGAAGAUUGUAAAUCUGCCCUUGCUUUUCAAGUUACAGGUGGGGAAGGAGAAUUCUGAGCUACAGAGCAGGGUUUUCCUCAAGAGGGGAGACCAACUGGUGUCUCGGAGUAAAUUAGGAAAAUCAUCUUGCCAUCAGGAGUCCCUGGGGAGAACAAGCAGUUAACACACUCAGCUGAUAACUAAAAGAUUGGAGGUUCGAGUCCACCCUGAAGUGCUCAGAAAGGCCUGGCAAUCUGCUUCCGAAAAACCAGCUAUUGAAAACCUUGUGCAGCACAGUUCUGCUCUGACCACACGGGGUCACCACGAGUCAGAGUUAACCUGAUGGCAAGUGCACCUACUGUGUGUCGUGCCCCAUGCUCACUGUUUGGAGCACAGUAAUGAUUAAGAGGGAGGACUGAGAUGUGCCUGACCCAAGCCAUGGUAUUUUCAAUCGGCUCAUAUCCAUGUGAAACCUUGACGAUGAAUAAGGAAGACCAAAGAAGAGUUGAUACCUUUCAAUUAUGCUGUUGGCGAAGAAUAUUGAAUAUACCGUGGACUGCCAGAAGAACGAACAAAUCGGUCUUGGAAGAAGUACAGCCAGAAUGCUCCUUAGAGGAGUUUUCUUGGAAUUGCAUUGAAGUUCUGGAUUGAAGUGGAGGUGAAUCAACAUCCUUACAAAAUUGAGCCUUCUCAUCUAAAGAACGAGGAGCCCUGAUGGCACAGCAGUUAAGCACUCAGCUGCUGCCCUGAAGACUGGCAGUUGGAGCCCACCAAGUGACUUCACAGAAGAAAGACCUGGCAAUCUUUUCCUCUAAAGACUACAGCCAAGAAAGCUCAAUGCGGAAGCUCUACUCUGUCACAUGGAGUCACUGUGAGUCGAAAAUCAGCUUGGCAGCACACAACAUGUUUGUGUAAGCUACGACUACCACUGUUACUCUUAUUACUAUUGUUGUUGUUUUUGUUACCCAAGGUCACCCUUUUCUCCUCCUCCCCGGGGUCAAGGGUAGCCACUUUUUACCCGAGGUAAGGGAGGGAACAGAUUUAAAGGCUGUAUUUUUCUGAAUCUAAAAUUGGAACAUGAGUAAAACUGUAGAAGGGGGAGAAGUGAAACAACACAGAAGAGGAAUCUUCACGUUGCCACUGAAAAUCGCGCAGCGUGGCCGUUGGAUAAAUCCCUUCCUCUGGAAAGGCACAAAUGCUGCCUCUUAUCAAAUAGUUUUUUCCAGCUUUCCUGAAAAUGUGGAAGCACAAAGGUCAUUCGCUUUUCUUUACAGGUGGAAACUGAGAACUUAAUCCAUUUACUAUCACUCACCUUCACCGUGAGUUUGUGGGACAGCCAGAAUUGGAAUUCUCACCUCCAGUCUUAGCGCCCACACCGCAGAACUGUGCUGCCUGCUGCAGGCUGGAACCUUCUGCCUGAACCCCUACCCUACGAUAGAUACCUGUCUUACCUCUGAGGCAGUAGUUCUCACAGUGGGGUCCCAGGAUCUCCUGGGAGCUUGUUAGAGAUGCAACUCAGUGCCUACCCCCCACUGGAGGGGUGGAGCCUGGGAAUCUGCAUUCAUUCUCACAGACCCUCCAGGGGAAGCCCAGAGGGGAAGUUAGGCAGCUGCUCUUCCAGAGAACGGUGGAAAAGUGGUUAGUUGCUGAAUAGCGGCUUCACCUUGAGCCAGAGAGGCUGGACGAUUUGAAGCAGCGCCCUGGGCCACCGCACAUUUUGACCUCGUUGGGCCCGAUUUUCCAUCCCUUCUAUGGCUUGCCCCUGGCUCUAGAGCCCACUUCUGGGCUGGCAGUAAAGCCGCCUCUGUCCGCAUGUGGCUCCCCGGUCCCGAGAAGGAAGCCAGGGCUCUUGGGAGCCUGCCUGCCCUGGCAGCUACCCUAGGGGUGUGUUCCCUGGCAGAGGGCCUGGAUUCUCCUCCCACUGCCGCAGCCACACCCGUGGCUCCUUCAUGGGGGCUCACAAAGCUGCACUAUUGGGAGGGGGAGCAGCAUCGGCGCCCGGCAGGGGUUUCUGGUCACACCAACACUGGCGUGGAAGCCUUGUUGUGCUGCCCACAUGGAUCGUUAUUUCAGCUAUCUGAUCUGAUUCUCCAAAGUGGAGAUUCUGCUUCUUUCCCCUGGUUUGCAUAAUCAACUUUUCACCUGCUUACUGUGCCCCAUUCCACCUGCUCACCUUCUGUCUCUCACCUGAGCCCUGAUAACCCUCAUGGAAGCACAGAACACAUCUUGCUUAGCCUGGUCACCCGUCCUUCCACCUCUCCAGCUUACAGGCACUUUGAAGAGUUCCUUUCAACUGCGGGAAGCUUUAGAGCCCAAGGUCCAUCCUCUUCCAGUCUGGAAUGGACUAAGAUAGACCAGGGAGAAAGGCCUGGCAAUCUACUUCUGAAAAUUAGCCAAAUGGAGACCGUAUGGAUCACAACAGAACAUGCUUGCUUUGGACUAGUCAUCAAGAGGUGUCCAUUUCCGGAGGAGGCCAUCAUGUUUGUGAAGUAGAGGGCCAGUGAGGGCAUGGGAGACCCUUGGUGAAAUGGAUUGACACAGUAGUCUCAGUGAGGGACUUAAACAUGCUGUCGAUUUUGAGAAUGACUCAGGACUGGGCAGUGUUUCGUUCUGUUGUACGUAAGGUCGCAGCUCUCCAAGGCAGCUAACACAGCAACACAACUUUGGGGAAGUCACUUCACCUCUGACCUCUCAGUUUCCCAAACUGCAAAAUGGAAAAUGUGCCCCUAGGGCUUAUCAUAUAUACAUAAUGUAUAUUAUAUAUAAAAUAAUAGUAAUUAUUAUCGAUCACUCAUAUCGCAGACAAGCGAGUUGAGCUAGAAAACAGCGGAGAGACUCCUUCUCCCCCUUGAGGACAGACGCCUUCUGCUUUGUAGAUCUGGGAGGGAGGCCGGGGUGGGGGCUUGGCUAACUAUCUCAACUUAAGACACAACUUUAGCAGUGACCUUCAGCAGCCCUGCAAAGAGCAGCCCUAUACUCCCACCCUCCGUUCUCUCGCUCAGCAAAGGAAGUCCAUAGGUCAUCAAGCUCGAUGGAUCCUAGUGAGGAAUGAAUUCGCCUGUGGGCCCAGGGCAGCAGAGCCGUUUUUACAUGGACACAUUGUUGGACAGCUUCCUUUCUCAGGGCUAAAAAACACGGUCCCCUCCAGGAUGCUGUCAACACGCGGACCUGCUCAGGUGGAGAAAUAAUAACAAUAAAGAUAGCAACUACUGGUGGUAAUCAUAACAAACAGAUAAAUAGCAGCUGCUUUGUCCCUUAAUGUCUUAUAAGAUUUACUAGUCAUUUAGUCCUGUCCUAAAAAGGAGCACUGGUGGUGCAACGGUUAAGCGCUCAGCUGCUAAUUGAAAGCUUGGCUGUUUGAACACACCUGGCAGCUCAGUGGGAGAAAGACUGGGAAGUCUGCUCCCGUAAAGUUCUACUCUGUCACACAGAGUUGCUAUGAGUUGAAAUUAAUGGCUGCUAACAACCUUUUUUUUUUUUUUUUUUU
Loxodonta africana (African savanna elephant) is the source of this 11017-nucleotide long non-coding RNA. RefSeq lists it as uncharacterized. The transcript is spliced from 5 exons. The record is from RefSeq and is a predicted model, not a curated record. NCBI's taxonomy places the organism in Eukaryota, Metazoa, Chordata, Mammalia, Proboscidea, Elephantidae.